This 80-nucleotide transfer RNA is filed under the name Rubrimonas cliftonensis. RNAcentral's name for it is "tRNA_Tyr_GTA". It matches the Rfam family "tRNA". From Rfam's summary of the family: Transfer RNA (tRNA) molecules are approximately 80 nucleotides in length. Their secondary structure includes four short double-helical elements and three loops (D, anti-codon, and T loops). Further hydrogen bonds mediate the characteristic L-shaped molecular structure. tRNAs have two regions of fundamental functional importance: the anti-codon, which is responsible for specific mRNA codon recognition, and the 3' end, to which the tRNAs corresponding amino acid is attached (by aminoacyl-tRNA synthetases). tRNAs cope with the degeneracy of the genetic code in two manners: having more than one tRNA (with a specific anti-codon) for a particular amino acid; and 'wobble' base-pairing, i.e. permitting non-standard base-pairing at the 3rd anti-codon position. Lineage: Bacteria; Pseudomonadati; Pseudomonadota; Alphaproteobacteria; Rhodobacterales; Paracoccaceae. The record is from RNAcentral.
GGAGGGAUGCUCUAAGGUAGAGCAGCGGACUGUAAAUCCGUCGAGGAGACUCACAGUGGGUUCGAUUCCCACCCCUCCCA